RNAcentral lists this ribosomal RNA (464 nucleotides) under uncultured bacterium. RNAcentral's name for it is "SSU rRNA". It matches the Rfam family "Bacterial small subunit ribosomal RNA", at positions 26 to 518 of the family's 1533-position model. The record is from RNAcentral.
AGCCUGAACGCUGGCGGCGUGGUUAAGACAUGCAAGUCGUACGGUGUAGCAAUACACAGUGGCGAACGGGUGAGUAAUGAAUCGCUAAUGUACCCCGGACUUUGGGAUAGCUGCCCGAAAGGGCAGGUAAUACCAGAUGAUAUAACUUUGUCGCAUGACAGAGUUCUCAAAGGUCCGCCGGUCUGGGAGCAGGCGAUUUCGUAUCAGCUAGUUGGUAAGGUAACGGCUUACCAAGGCGACGACGCGUAGCCGGACUGAGAGGUUGGCCGGCCACAUUGGGACUGAGACACUGCCCAGACUCCUACGGGGGGCUGCAGUAACGAAUCUUCCGCAAUGCACGAAAGUGUGACGGAGCGACGCCGCGUGUGGGACGAACGCCCUUCGGGGUGUAAACCACUGUCAAGGGAAGAAAGUUCUGAUCUACCCUAGAGGAAGGAGGCGGCUAACUCUGCGCCAGCAGCCGC